GGGGGAGAUGAUAACAGCACUAAAGCACCGGAUCAUAGAACUCCGAAGUUAAGCGUGUUUGGCGAGAGGUAGUACUAGGAUGGGUGACCUACUGGGAAGUCCUAGUGUUGCAUCCC
RNAcentral lists this ribosomal RNA (116 nucleotides) under Oryza punctata. Lineage: Eukaryota; Viridiplantae; Streptophyta; Magnoliopsida; Poales; Poaceae. The record is from RNAcentral.